AUUGAACGCUGGCGGCAGGCCUAACACAUGCAAGUCGAGCGAGCGGCGGACGGGUGAGUAAUGUAUGGGGACUGCCCGAUAGAGGGGGAUAACUACUGGAAACGGUGGCUAAUACCGCAUACUAUCGGAUAACCCAUAUGGGAUUAGCUAGUAGGUGGGGUAAAGGCUCACCUAGGCGACGAUCUCUCGCUGGUCUGAGAGGAUGAGAAGCGACACGGGGACUGAGAGAUGGCACAGAGGCCUACGGAGGCAGCAGUGGGGAAUAUUGCGAAAUGGGAGCAAGCCUGAUGCAGCCAUGCCGCGUGUAUGAAGAAGGAAUUAGGGUUGUAAAGUACUUUCAGCGGGGAGGCGGUACCCGCAGAAGAAGCACCGGCUAACUCCGUGCCAGCAGCCGCGGUAAUAC
This 403-nucleotide ribosomal RNA is filed under the name uncultured bacterium. RNAcentral's name for it is "partial 16S ribosomal RNA". It matches the Rfam family "Bacterial small subunit ribosomal RNA", at positions 29 to 526 of the family's 1533-position model. The record is from RNAcentral.